CCCCAUGGCUGGGCCUCGGGGGAGGUGAGGACAGGCUUCCAAAAGGAGAGGAUGCUUAUUGCUGCCUCAUGAAGGAUGGGUAAGAGUUAGGGAGGCAAAAGUCGGGAGGGACUAGCAGAGGAAAGCUCAUGUGUAAAAGGACAGAGGUACCAUUUAUUCAGUAAGUAUUUACUGAACACCUAAUGUGGAUCAGGCACAGUUCUAGGCACAGGGAAUACAGCAAUGAACCAAAGCCGAAAAUCGGUGCCCUCAUGGAGCUUACAGUGUAGUGGUGGGGGCUGGGCACAGACCACAAGCAAACACAUCGGUAAUGUGUCAGAUGGUAACAAGUACUAUAAGCAGAGAGGAGAGAUAGAGAGUACUUGGGGGGGGGGGGCAUUGCAAUAUUAAAUAUGAGGAUCAAGAAAGGCCUCAAUGAGGAUAUGACCUUCCUCAAGCAAUGACCUGAAGAAUGUGGAGGAAGGAGCCAUGUGGGUAUCUGUGUUCCAAGCAAAGGCAGUGGCUCAUGCAAAGGCCCUGAGGCAGGAGCCUCUCUGGCAUGUUUAAGUUCAGCAGGAAGAUCAGCGGAGUGGAGGGGAAGAAUUGGACUGAAGUGGGAGCAGGAGCCAGACCAAGAAAAGUCUCGGAUGCCAUCGAGAGGAGGAUGGAUUUUCUUCUGAAGGUGACAGGUUAUUCUAUCAGCCACCAGGAAAAACCCAGAGAUCUUCUGUAAGACGUUGCCCCCACCUGAAGCGUGUGCUAUGUGCGCAGAAUGAACAGGUUGUUUCUGGGUGGCUGUGUCCAGUGCGUGCUGCUCCCAUUAAUCAGUACAAAUACUGGUCCUUUUUCGCCUGCAAGAUGUGUGCUUUGGAGAUGAGCUAACAAAGGCACAGAAGGGCUGAGCGACGCACUGAAAGUUGCACAGCUUGUAUGGGACAGUCAGGCCCAGCUCUGUCUGUCUGCAAAGCCCAUACUCUGCAGGCUGCUUUAGACUGAGGCUCCCAUAACACUCCCAGAAAGGAGAAUUCGAGCAUCCCGCUUCUCCUGUCUCCGCCCUCACACCUGCUCUGCCGAGGUACCUGAGGGGCUCAGAAGACCUGCACAGGGUCCCUGGGGUCUUAUCAGCAAAGGCGCAGCCAGAGUGAUGUGUCCUGGAAUAAGGGCUGGCGUUUCAUCGAGAACUUGCCCAAGAGACACUUUUGGGUGGUUAGGUGAGAGACUUAUUUAUGGGGCUGCCCGGGGCAUCCCAGACCUCUAUCCAGGGUGGAGGAAAGCCAGGCGUCAGCCUCAGACAGCAGGAGACUCAAGACACACGAUGGAAACCGCGCUGACACCUUCGCCUUCCCGCGCGCUUGGUUGCCUAGCAACCGAAAGUGACGAGCUGCCAACUCACUGAUGCGAUCGCAGUGGGGAGAUCAGAUUCCUCUUCCCUACCAACCUGUGAGCUUGAGGACCAAGACCCCGUGAGAGGCAGUGCAAUAAAGAGCACAGUGUUGGAGCCAGACCUGCCGCACUUCAAAUCUCAAAGGCUGCAUGACUUCGGGCAAGCAAAGAACAACCGGAGGCUGAGAUCAAGUUGACGUGCUGGUUAACCCAUGUCUCCUUUGGAAGUGUCCACCUGUCCCAGGUCCUGUCCAACAGACAGCACUGUUUGUACCGCAUGAUCCACCCUUGUGGCCACAGCUGAUUGCACCAGGAUGAGAGAAAACUGAGACACAGAACAUUGAGGUGACUCGCCAGAGGCCACACAGCUCAUAGGUGCCCGAGCUAGGAUGUAAGCCCAAGCUUUCUGACAGCAGAAUCUAUGCUCCUCACACCUGGAGCCCAGAUCUUGGUUUGAAGACACCUCUCCCCACUGAGAAGAGCCACGUUUCUUGGAGAAAUGGCUGAUUCCAGGUCUGGGGCUAGGAAAGACAGGUGAGCCAGGGUCGUCUAGUUCCAGAAAGCAAGCAGGUGUCCAAAAUGAUGGGCAUGUGUCAAGAGCCCCAAAUUCAGCUUUAUGGGACUUGUAAUGGCCAAGUUUGGGACAAGUUUUGCAUGAAAAACGACAGAAGUUGAUUGUUACACAUUAAGGACUAAAAUUCCACAAGUCCAUAGGGACUCUUGAGACAAAGGGAGAGAGGCAAACAAGGAGAGAGAGAGAAAGAAACAAGAAAGAGCUUCUUUAAGAAGAACACCAAGGACCCACAACUAAAAUGUACGACUAUGUACUGGAGGGAUUUGAGGGGGAAAAGCAUGAAAAAAAAAAAAGAAGAUUGGCAACAGUUGUUAGCUCAGGUGCCAAUCUUUAAAAAAAAAAAAGGAAAACCAGCUAAUCUAGGAGUAACAGAAUGAAAGACUCAGGAAAAGUAUCGCUUUUAAACUUGCAAUUUAGCAAUCAUUUCAGGACAGAAUUAGCAAUGGAUGCUGGGACACCUGGGAGAAAGGUCCGACAGGAGAAAUUUGGCCGAGUGCCAACGCGUCCCCCACGGAUGUCUUUCUAAAGCAGAGAGGGUGAAGCGUGCCUCCACAGGGGGCGAUCUGGUGUCACCACCUUAACCAAGUGACAAGCUUCUCUCUGUUGAUCUUGGGGCACGCUCAUAUUGCACACCUCCUAAGGUGGUGCAAUUUGAAAUACAGAGCAUCAUCUGUAAGGGAUCCUUGCCGAAAACGUAAAACAUGAGUCUAAUUUGAAUUAACUAGAAUCUAAUUUAGACCCAAAUUCCAGUUUAUGGAAAAUAUAGGGGACAGAGGCACAAGACACAUGACAACAUGGGGAAGCAAUCAGACAAAUCCAGAACAUGGGACAGUCUACAAGACGACUCGUCCAGACUCUACAAAAAGUCAAUGUCUUAAGAAUCUGUGUGUGUGCGUGUGUGUGUUUGGGGUGGGGGGUGUUGAGGUUAAAAGACGAAACAAAGACAAUAAACAAAUAUAGUGCAUGGAUCUUGCUUGGACGGUGGUUUAAAAUUUUUAAAACGCAGUCAGGACAAAUACGGAAAUUUGAACUUGGAUGUUAGAUGUUCUGGAAUCCUUGUUCAUUUUCUUAGGUAUAAUAAUGGCGCCGUGCUUGUGUAAGGGAAUGCCUUGCUCUCAGACUGAACCAUUUAGUGGUGAAGUCACCAUCUCUGUGACUUUAAAUAGUUCAGAAAAAUACACACACACACAUAUAGAUAAAUAGACAGACAGACGGAUGAACAAAC
Equus caballus (horse) is the source of this 3161-nucleotide long non-coding RNA. NCBI's taxonomy places the organism in Eukaryota, Metazoa, Chordata, Mammalia, Perissodactyla, Equidae. The record is from Ensembl.